UACGAAGGGGGCUAGCGUUGCUCGGAAUCACUGGGCGUAAAGCGCACGUAGGCGGAUUGCUAAGUCAGGGGUGAAAUCCUGGAGCUCAACUCCAGAACUGCCUUUGAUACGUGCGGACUUGAGUGCGGAAGAGGGUCGUGGAAUUCCCAGUGUAGAGGUGAAAUUCGUAGAUAUUGGGAAGAACACCGGUGGCGAAGGCGACUUCCUGGCCUGUUCUUGACGCUGAGGCGCGAAAGCUAGGGGAGCAAACGGG
Molecule: ribosomal RNA, 253 nt
Filed under: uncultured bacterium
Lineage: Bacteria
Description: partial 16S ribosomal RNA
Rfam family: Bacterial small subunit ribosomal RNA
Source: RNAcentral